UUGCUGGCUUAGUAAACUAUCGAAAUA
RNAcentral lists this non-coding RNA (27 nucleotides) under Rattus norvegicus (Norway rat). Lineage: Eukaryota; Metazoa; Chordata; Mammalia; Rodentia; Muridae. The record is from RNAcentral.